GAGGAAAAGGAACCAACAGGGAUUGCCUCAGUAACGGCGAGUGAAGCGGCAAAAGCUCAAAUUUGAAAUCUAGUACCUUCGGUGCUCGAGUUGUAAUUUGAAGGUAGUUUUCUGGUGCUGGCCCUUGUCUAUGUUCCUUGGAACAGGACGUCAUAGAGGGUGAGAAUCCCGUCUGAUGGGGUGUCCAGUGCUUUGUAGAUUUCUACCGAAGAGUCGAGUUGUUUGGGAAUGCAGCUCUAAGUGGGUGGUAAAUUCCAUCUAAAGCUAAAUACUGGCGAGAGACCGAUAGCGAACAAGUACAGUGAUGGAAAGAUGAAAAGAACUUUGAAAAGAGAGUGAAAAAGUACGUGAAAUUGUUGAAAGGGAAGGGUAUUGGAUCAGACUUGGUGUCUUGUGAUUAUCUUCCCUUCUUGGGUUGUGCACUCGCAUUUCACUGGGCCAGCAUCGGUUCGGAUGGCAAGAUAAUGGCUUGGGAAUGUGGCACUCUUCGGAGUGUGUUAUAGCCCUUGUUGAUGUUGCCUAUCUGGACCGAGGACUGCGGCUUUUGCCUAGGAUGCUGGCGUAAUGAUUCAAUACCGCCCGUCU
RNAcentral lists this ribosomal RNA (585 nucleotides) under Petasospora fabianii. Its description in RNAcentral is "Cyberlindnera fabianii partial large subunit ribosomal RNA". It matches the Rfam family "Eukaryotic large subunit ribosomal RNA", at positions 53 to 654 of the family's 3401-position model. Lineage: Eukaryota; Fungi; Ascomycota; Saccharomycetes; Phaffomycetales; Wickerhamomycetaceae. The record is from RNAcentral.